AAGCUUUACCCUUGAACUCUGAAGUGCUUUCCUAUAUGUGGUUGGGGGAAAGGGAACAAAUAUUAUUUUAAUUUGUACGAUGAGCAAAGGUAUCACCAGUGUAAAUCAUUAUUCUGCAAUCCACACACAGGUUUGGACAUUACUGUUUUGCAUAUCUUGUGUUCACUUCCGUUUCCCUCCAUUUUUCCAAAACUAUACAAGAAGUAUAUCCAUCCUACAACUUGCUUUGAGAGACCAGGACAUGUCUUAAUCCUGUCUUCAUUCUAUCCACUCUGCUCCAGUUGAUUGGGACUUGGUCUCGGGACAGUCCUGCCCCGUGAGCAUCCCCCAUGGGAGAGGUGGCUGGCUUUUCUGUUCACUUCCACUGCGUGAACUUGCCUCGGUGGCCUCCUCAGGAAAGCGCACACUGAAUGAGAGGAUGAGCUAGAGUCGGGCUGGCUGGAGGGAAGGGAAUCCUCCCUCUGGCAACUGCUCUACCCAAACUCAGAUAGCAGGGGCCAGAGAACAGCAACCAGGUAAAAGCUUUGUCCAUCCCAAAGUCAGCUCUGUCUCAUUCACUUCAUCCUCUCCUUGCUCUGGAGCAGGAUUUCCUCCAGGUCUCCCCUAAUGUGCAUGGCAGACAGGGAGAGGACUGGGACCAGGACUGGGGAGGACACGUCAGGAGUUCGCAGUGAUAAUGGAACCAGAGACACUGUGGGAGCAUCUCUUACGCCUAUUUGCGUCUACCUAGAACGUCAUCCUAUCCAUGCUGUUUCCUUCAAAUAGAUUUCAACAAUGAUGGUUGAAAAGGGAGUGAUUUAGGGAAAACAGGACCCAAACAUUCAUCUAGGAUUUACCCAGGGAAUGUCUUCCAGUGCCAGUAUGUUCCCAGCCCUUUACAGGAGCGACCUACUUGGGACAAGUGAAGAUGAGUUUCACUUUUAAGGACUGAUUCAUGAAAAAGUGGAGAAAUACGCUGAAUGUUCCCAGGUACACUAACAGUGUAGAAGCAGAAGGGUUUCUCCCUGUUUCUCCAAGACUAAACCCUCCAAACUUCUUUGGUUCCUUUUCAGUGCCAUGAGGCCUUCUAGAAAUUACAGUUAGGUGUCAUCUUUGUCCAGUUUUCCAAGAUACCUACCACCGUUCUGCUAAGAUUUUAGUUGUGAUGGAGAGCGAAGCCCUUUUGGAUUGAUAACUGAUUCUUGCUAUACAUGUGGUCCCUAGAUAGAAAUUUGGCAUCUUAACUGACCACAGACACAAACACAUACACACACACACACACACACACACACACCACUCACACCACUCACACAUUCACUCAAACUUUCAUGCUGCUUUCUUUUUUCCCUUUGGACUUGUCUUCUGCAUCACCAAAUCUCAUUGGCCAGUGGCAUGGGCUACACGCUGGGCUUAUGCCAGCUACCCCUAAGGCCCUGCCUAAGUGUGCCCCCUUGCCCUCCACCACUCACACCUACAGAGUCCCUUCUUUCUAGUCAGCUCUGUCAGAAGGUCAGCUGGUCUUGCACCCUACAAGAGCAAAAUCAGCAGUGCCAAGGGAACCUGGCCCUGUGCUGCUGGCAAGGAAAGGAGUUUUAGAUGGGAGUUCCCUGUGGAGGGUGAUGGGUCUCUAUGGCCUGACCUCAUGAUCAACUGGUAUGGUACUGACAGAGGAUACCUGUCAUCAUGGGUGCCUAGGUGGGUCAGUCAGCUAAGCAUCUGCCUUUGGCUCAGGUCAUGAUCCCAGGGUCCUAGGAUCAAGUCCUGCAUCUGCUCCCUGCUGAGCAGAGAAUCUGCUCCUCUGUCUCCCUCUGCCCCUCCUCCCCUUCUCAUUCUGUCUCUUUCUCUCUCUUUCUUAGAGAAAAAUUUUUUAAAAAUAACUUGUUUUUAUUUCUCUCUUUCUUAGCUCUCUCUCUCUAAUAUAUAAAUAAAAUCUUUAAAAAAAGAUACCUGUCAUCAUGACAGAUGGAUAAAAUGAUUCAUAAAAUCACAAACCUCACCCCCUGUGUAUUAAGUGAUAUCUGCCCCCCACCUAGAGCAGAACUUUGCCUAUGACCUUGUAAAACAUAACCAUCAAGUCUUCUGAGAACUUGUGAGUGGCAAAGAGAAAGCAGCCAAUGGCUGAGGACCAAAAGGACCUGAAGAAGUGCAGUGUAAGCUCUGAGAGCAUGAUUUUUAUUUUUCAUCUGAAUGGCUUAUUGUAUUUCUACACUUUGGCCUUUUAAUAGUCAUGUGUCUGGCUAUAUUAAACAGGGAGAUUUUCAGUUGUCUUCUUUCUGCCUGUUUCUAGAAGUUUCUUUUGGUCUUGAGGCAUAAAGAGAAGAAAGUUUUCCUAGAUUUUGGCUUGAACCAUGAAUUUUUCUCUGCUCUGCUUCAAAGAUUAUUAGUCAUAAUCCCUCCCAUCACCUUCUGAGUCUAACAGGCUGCCCUCUGACUGGGAGGUCCAAGGACAAAGGAACAAGACUUCCUUACUCUGUCUUUAUCCUGCGACCCUGCUUCUUCCGGGGCUUGUCUGGAGUGAAGCUAUCAGUUUCUCACAAAUAUUUUCCUUCCAGAUUAUCUCCUGAUCAUUAAGCUAUAGAUAGUAAGACAACCACAGGAGAAGGAUCCCAUUCAAUGCCUGAGACAUAAGAACACCCUGAAAAUGAGGAGUUUGGAAGUCAUCAAAAGGGUUUCGUAGAGGCCAUUUGAUACCUACCCAUCAUUCCUAAAGGUCAAGAUGUGUAACAAGAACCUAAUUUAGGCAUACAGAGUAAGUCUGGUAGUCAGGCUUUUAGCCUCAUCAAACCAUAAUUAUAAAUUUUGCUGAAGAGGAUAAUGGCAUCUCCAUCCUGAGGGACCUGGGGAAAAAAUGAAAUAUCAUUGUCUAAGAGUUAGAAACCCUUUAGCAAAGAGGCCACAAAAGGGCAAUUUGUUUUCAAGAGACCCAUUUAAGCCCCAAUUUAGUAAAACACUCGCUGAUAAGAGCCCAGGUCAGUUCAUAGUGAAGCUCUUGGUCACCACAUCCAGGUUCCUCAUCAGCUCCCUCUGAAGAGACAUAAGGAAAAGAGACAAGGAAACGAAGUGUCCUACAACUAUCAGGGAUGGCAUAGUUUUUCCCUUUCCCCAAGCCAUUCUCUCUAUUCCAGCCUCCUGCCCAACCCCCACUUUCCUUUCCUCCCCUCAGUCUUGUCAGAACAGGGAGUUGGGAGUAGUCCAAUAUGCAGAUUCUUAAAUAGUUUAUGAAGCUAGUUCUGGUUUUAACUUUUUUUUAUUUCAAAGCAAUGAAACCUUGCUUUGUGAAGCCAGAUACCAAUGUAGCAAGUGGUUUCUGCCAGACUUCCACAUGGUUGGAACACACUUGAACACCACACAUACACACACACUCAUACACACUUUCAUCCUCAUACACACACACACACACACACACACACACACACUUCCUUAACAGACAGGUGCAGGUGCUGGGGUUGAGCCCUGCACAAAUGAUAUUGUCCUCCCAAAGGGCUGAGCACUGUAUAGAGAGAUGUGGAGAGAGGACCAGAGUAACUUCCUUGAGUAGAAAUAGUGCCAUCGGGCCCUAUUAUUACUGUGAACUAAAUAUUAUUUAUCUACAUUGAGAGAUACAACUACAUCUACAAUCAGACUUUUCCCUCACAUGAUUUUAAGAGGCUUGCUCCAGAAAAGAUGCAGUGGUAGAUUCUUCAGCUCUCCGAUAUACUGGAAAAGCCCUUUGAUCAGUCUCUGAAAGGGAAUUAGAGAUUGCCAGCAAAAUAUAUUGAGCUGAGUUGAACAAAUCAAUUCAACACUGAGAGUAGAGUCAAGAGUUGGGACUUCCACAGAACUCCCCUCAGUCUCCACUAAAUUAAGGAAGACAAAAGACAAAGACUAGAUAAUUAAACAAAAGCUUGAAAUGUUACAUCACCAGAGUCAAAUAUUCUCCCUUCAGAUUGCAUACUGGCCUCUUCAUAGCUGUACCGUCUUUUGGAGGGCGUCCCAUGCAUCCGACUUUCCAGAAUCUAAUCUGACUUGAUAAGGUUCCUAGAAAGGGCAACAUGACAUUUAAUCUACCCUAAAUCCAACAUUUACUAUAAAUUUGCCAUCUAAAAAUCAUUGGUGUACCUCAUACAUAAGAAAGUGUUUCACCUAUGUCAUUAUUAAAGAGGUCUCUUGGUGAAGAGGUUGUAAAUCUUAAGGGAGGGUAAUUUCUAUGUGAAGAAACACAGAAAUGGACAGGAUUUUUCCUAUUCACUGUUUGAGCCUAGAGAACUGUUCUGAUGCUCCUCGAGUGUGUAAGCAGAGGGACGGGAAUGAGCGGGCACCAGCCGGGCAGUGGGUCACUGCUGACGCACGCCGUACUGCAUGCCUGCGGGCCUCAGACACUCUGCAUGCAGUCUCUCCUGAGCCCGCAACCCAGAGAGGAAAGAGAAGGCUCCCUUCUACAGGGUCACAGGAGGAGCAAAAGAGGACAGGUCACUGUGUCCUGUGCCAAACCCCCUCCCCUGAGAUUUCCCA
RNAcentral lists this long non-coding RNA (4470 nucleotides) under Canis lupus familiaris (dog). RNAcentral's name for it is "lncRNA (ENSCAFG00000050587.1)". The record is from RNAcentral. Lineage: Eukaryota; Metazoa; Chordata; Mammalia; Carnivora; Canidae.